This 500-nucleotide ribosomal RNA is filed under the name uncultured bacterium. RNAcentral describes it as "partial 16S ribosomal RNA". It matches the Rfam family "Bacterial small subunit ribosomal RNA", at positions 30 to 523 of the family's 1533-position model. The record is from RNAcentral.
AUUGAACGCUGGCGGCAUGCUUUACACAUGCAAGUCGAACGGCAGCGCGGACUUCGGUCUGGCGGCGAGUGGCGAACGGGUGAGUAAUAUAUCGGAACGUACCCAAGAGUGGGGGAUAACGUAGCGAAAGUUACGCUAAUACCGCAUACGAUCUAAGGAUGAAAGCAGGGGAUCGCAAGACCUUGUGCUCCUGGAGCGGCCGAUGUCUGAUUAGCUAGUUGGUGAGGUAAAGGCUCACCAAGGCAACGAUCAGUAGCUGGUCUGAGAGGACGACCAGCCACACUGGAACUGAGACACGGUCCAGACUCCUACGGGAGGCAGCAGUGGGGAAUUUUGGACAAUGGGGGCAACCCUGAUCCAGCAAUGCCGCGUGAGUGAAGAAGGCCUUCGGGUUGUAAAGCUCUUUUGUCAGGGAAGAAAAGGCUGUGGCUAAUAUCCACAGCUGCUGACGGUACCUGAAGAAUAAGCACCGGCUAACUACGUGCCAGCCGCCGCCGUAA